AUGGCGGACCGCGGCGGCGAGCGUGGUGGCGACCGCGGAGGCGAGCGCGGCGGGUUCGGCCGCGGCUUCGGGCGCGGCGGGCGCGGGGACCGUGGCGGGCGCCGCGGCGGUCGUCGUGGCCCCCGCCAGGAGGAGGAGAAGUGGGUGCCCGUCACCAAGCUCGGCCGCCUCGUCAAGGAGGGCCGCUUCACCAAGAUGGAGGAGCUCUACCUCCACUCGCUCCCCAUCAAGGAGCACCAGAUCGUGGAGCAGCUCUGCCCGGGGCUCAAGGACGAGGUGAUGAAGAUCACCCCCGUGCAGAAGCAGACCCGCGCCGGCCAGCGGACCCGCUUCAAGGCGUUCGUCGUCGUCGGCGACAGCAACGGCCACGUCGGGCUCGGCGUCAAGUGCGCCAAGGAGGUGGCCACGGCCAUCCGCGGCGCCAUCAUCCUCGCCAAGCUCUCCAUCGUGCCCGUCAGGAGGGGCUACUGGGGGAACAAGAUCGGCCUGCCCCACACCGUGCCCUGCAAGGUCACCGGCAAGUGCGGCUCUGUCACCGUGCGCAUGGUGCCCGCCCCGAGGGGUUCCGGGAUCGUCGCCGCGCGCGUCCCCAAGAAGGUGCUCCAGUUCGCUGGUAUUGAUGAUGUCUUCACUUCCUCGCGUGGAUCCACCAAGACCCUUGGCAACUUCGUCAAGGCAACCUUCGACUGCCUGAUGAAGACCUAUGGAUUCCUCACCCCUGACUUCUGGAGGGAGACGACCUUCACCAAGGCGCCAUACCAGGAGUUCACCGACAUUUUGGUGAAGCCGACCAAGGCCCUGAUGCUUGAUGCACCAGCCGAGAAGAUCGAAGCUUAG
Molecule: ribosomal RNA, 837 nt
Filed under: Triticum aestivum (bread wheat)
Lineage: Eukaryota; Viridiplantae; Streptophyta; Magnoliopsida; Poales; Poaceae
Description: partial small subunit ribosomal RNA
Source: RNAcentral